UUCGUGCCAGCAGCCGCGGUAAUACGAAGGGACCUAGCGUAGUUCGGAAUUACUGGGCUUAAAGAGUUCGUAGGUGGUUGAAAAAGUUAGUGGUGAAAUCCCAGAGCUUAACUCUGGAACUGCCAUUAAAACUUUUCAGCUAGAGUAUGAUAGAGGAAAGCAGAAUUUCUAGUGUAGAGGUGAAAUUCGUAGAUAUUAGAAAGAAUACCAAUUGCGAAGGCAGCUUUCUGGAUCAUUACUGACACUGAGGAACGAAAGCAUGGGUAGCGAAGAGGAUUAGAUACCCUCGUAGUCCAUGCCGUAAACGAUGUGUGUUAGACGUUGGAAAUUUAUUUUCAGUGUCGCGGCGAAAGCGAUAAACACACCGCCUGGGGAGUACGACCGCAAGGUUAAAACUCAAAUGAAUUGACGGGGA
This 415-nucleotide ribosomal RNA is filed under the name uncultured bacterium. RNAcentral's name for it is "bacterial SSU rRNA". It matches the Rfam family "Bacterial small subunit ribosomal RNA", at positions 502 to 919 of the family's 1533-position model. The record is from RNAcentral.